AUUGAACGCUGGCGGCAGGCCUAACACAUGCAAGUCGAGCGGAUGAGAAGAGCUUGCUCUUCGAUUCAGCGGCGGACGGGUGAGUAAUGCCUAGGAAUCUGCCUGAUAGUGGGGGACAACGUUUCGAAAGGAACGCUAAUACCGCAUACGUCCUACGGGAGAAAACAGGGGACCUUCGGGCCUUGCGCUAUCAGAUGAGC
This 200-nucleotide ribosomal RNA is filed under the name uncultured bacterium. RNAcentral's name for it is "partial 16S ribosomal RNA". It matches the Rfam family "Bacterial small subunit ribosomal RNA", at positions 30 to 230 of the family's 1533-position model. The record is from RNAcentral.